CAUUGGCUUUAACGGUGAUAUAGGAGAGGUUGAAUAUCUUGUUCUUAACAGUCAUCCUCUCUCCAUUUCUCAAAGAUCCAAAUCCAUCUCCAAUGACCCCAACAAAUUCAGCUCUGCUGUGAGUGGUUACAUAGAAGCAGUUAGGGAGGUGGCAUGUGAGAUACUAGAUCUUAUGGCAGAGGGGUUGGGGGUCCCAGACACAUCAGUGUUUAGCAGGCUGAUCAGCGACGUUGAUAGCGACUCCAUCAUCAGGCUCAAUCACUACCCACCUUCUUACAGCACCAACAGGGUUGGGUUUGGAGAGCACUCUGACCCUCAGAUCCUC
RNAcentral lists this unclassified non-coding RNA (325 nucleotides) under Hevea brasiliensis (rubber tree). The record is from RNAcentral. Lineage: Eukaryota; Viridiplantae; Streptophyta; Magnoliopsida; Malpighiales; Euphorbiaceae.